AACGAACGCUGGCGGCAGGCUUAACACAUGCAAGUCGAGCGCACCGCAAGGUGAGCGGCAGACGGGUGAGUAACGCGUGGGAAUCUACCCAACCCUACGGAAUAACCCAGGGAAACUUGGACUAAUACCGUAUACGCCCUUUUGGGGAAAGAUUUAUCGGGGAUGGAUGAGCCCGCGUUGGAUUAGCUAGUUGGUGGGGUAAAGGCCUACCAAGGCGACGAUCCAUAGCUGGUCUGAGAGGAUGAUCAGCCACAUUGGGACUGAGACACGGCCCAAACUCCUACGGGAGGCAGCAGUGGGGAAUAUUGGACAAUGGGCUCAAGCCUGAUCCAGCCAUGCCGCGUGAGUGAUGAAGGCCUUAGGGUUGUAAAGCUCUUUCAGUAGGGAAGAUAAUGACGGUACCUACAGAAGAAGCCCCGGCUAACUUCGUG
This 431-nucleotide ribosomal RNA is filed under the name uncultured bacterium. RNAcentral's name for it is "partial 16S ribosomal RNA". It matches the Rfam family "Bacterial small subunit ribosomal RNA", at positions 29 to 507 of the family's 1533-position model. The record is from RNAcentral.